This 1983-nucleotide long non-coding RNA is filed under the name Gallus gallus (chicken). RNAcentral's name for it is "lncRNA (ENSGALG00010006490.1)". Lineage: Eukaryota; Metazoa; Chordata; Aves; Galliformes; Phasianidae. The record is from RNAcentral.
CAUCGCUCCAUGCCCAGAUAAGAGCCCAAUAAGGAAAAUUAAACAAUAAAAAACAAGUACAUUAUUCUACUGCUCACAAUUUUAUCAGAUUCCAGUGUCACAGCCAUGAUUUCGCUCAAAACUCUCUUACAUUUAUUUUUUAGUAAAAGGUAACCUUCUCUGUUCAUGAAAACACACAAUGGAUUUCUUUACUUACAAGGGAAGGCAGGUUUCCACUCCAAGAUUUAAAUAUACUGAACUUCACAAACUACACCGUGUACUUCUAUUAUUAUGCUUUCAGGUUCCAUUUUUAUGCCUGAUGUAUUAGGGAGAAAGCCUUCUGACUUUCUGAUGAUGCAUUUAAAUGAAUAAAGGGAGCCAUGGGGGAUAGCUGGGGGCCUGAAAAAUAGAGCGCACUCAAUGCUUUUAUGAAUACUUACAUUUAAUUAAAAAGCACCAUAUGCCAUCAAAAGUAUUGUUGGCUGGGUAACGUCCCUUUUAACAGAUGUGAUUACAGACAUAGGGUAAAUAUUAUGCAGGAAGACAUAAUAGAAGCAUAGCCCAUUGGGAAGGGAGAAACCUAGUAAUACAAAAGCUACUCUAAACAGCAGUGUGCUGUUUGGCAAGGUUAUAGGCUUGCUCUGGAGAUACCUACCUUUCAGCCUUGCAUAGGAGGGUUUUUGAGCCUUUACACUUAUCCUGAAAACAUAUGUUGCAGUCCUCCAAAGCACACAAAUAAACUCUAGGUUUUAUAUUUUACCUCAGAAAGAAAUCAAGCAGAGCUACAGUUGACAUUUAGGGCAAAACAACCUGUAUCAGAAACUUCCAGUCCAUUCAUCCAUGCUUAAAGCACACACACAUACCCAGCUGGUUCCUGUAUCCAUCAUCAAGGAGAAAGUCCCUGGUAGGAGCUGCCCCUGGCAAUCUGCACCUCAGUGGCAUGUAAGAAAGCACUGGGGCUAUUCCAGAUUAUGCUGUACAGUUACCUCACUGUUAUGAGAGCCAUUCCAACAAAUCCUGGUGCUCUCCUUCCUUCCACUCACUCUGCCAUACUGGGGAUGGAGGAUGGUGAGACGGUUUACUGGAAAAGGAGAGGAUUAGAAAACAUUGACAGGAGAUUGAAACAAACAAACAAACAAAAAAAGAAAAAGAGAGAGAGAGAGAAAAAAAAAAAAAGAAGGUGAACGGAAAAGAAGCGAGGAAGAAAACACACUGGGAAAUUAUGUAAAAGUUGCCUGGGCUUUAAUGUUACAUCUUGUCAUACGAAAUGAAGGGCAACUGCUGUUGUGUGAAGGAAGUAUGUGCUAAUGGAAAACAGGAAAGAGAAAAAAGAAUAAUGAUUCAUCAAUUAAAAAGAGCAGACCUCCAAAUGGAACAAGUUACCAGAACGAACCAAACUGAACAUCCAUCUCAGCAUUCUCCUCAGUUACUUGCAUAAAAUGGCCGAUGAAGUCAGGGAAAGAGUUCUUCCUCUUCACUUCAGCAUGAACGAUGAAUUUAUAAACCAAGAGUAUUCCAUAUUCACUGAGACAACAAACCAGCAACAAGAUAGACAGUCCCACUAAGGUGCACCCUGUUACCUUCUGGUCAGUGUGCCAACCCACCUUUUCUACACUGAUUUGUGAUGCGGGAGAAGACUUUUUAUUCUUCAGCUGUGAUGAGCUGAAAAGACAGUAAGUUACUCUGUCACUCUCAUCACAUAGAAUUCACCUCUGCCUCCAAACAGCUCCAGGGAAAUCUACCAGCUCCACAGCUGUCCUGUGUGUCCUCCAUCAAGAGAAUCUUGGGAAACGCUUAGAAAAUAAAGAACCUGUUUUCCAAUUACGGAUUUGUUAAAACAAGGUGAAAUCUUAGUUCCAUGCCUGCAAAAUGGGAAUCAUUAAUCCCAGUGUAAAUGGGAGACACUGAACUCUCCAGCACAUCUGAAAGAGCAAAUCCGUCAGUGCUUUGAAAAUCAUUUGUGGACCCUUAGAGAGAAAGCCCUAUUUCAACUUCAAAUGUUGG